This 459-nucleotide ribosomal RNA is filed under the name uncultured bacterium. Its description in RNAcentral is "partial 16S ribosomal RNA". It matches the Rfam family "Bacterial small subunit ribosomal RNA", at positions 338 to 795 of the family's 1533-position model. The record is from RNAcentral.
CCUACGGGUGGCAGCAGUGAGGAAUAUUGGUCAAUGGCCGGGAGGCUGAACCAGCCAAGUCGCGUGAGGGAAGACGGCCCUACGGGUUGUAAACCUCUUUUGUCAGGGAGCAAGGUGCUGGUCGGGCCCUGCUCUGAGAGUACCUGCAGAACAAGCAUCGGCUAACUCCGUGCCAGCAGCCGCGGUAAUACGGAGGUGCCGAGCGUUAGCCGGAUUUAUUGGGUUUAAAGGGUGCGCAGGGGGGGGCACAAGUCCGCGGUAAAAUCGCGGGGCUCAACCCCGCCCCGCCGUUGAGACUGUUGCCCUGGAGUGCGCGAAGGGUAGGCGGAAUGCGUGGUGUAGCGGUGAAAUGCAUAGAUAUCACGCAGAACUCCGAUCGCGAAGGCAGCCUACCGGCGCGCAACUGACGCUCAUGCACGAAAGCGUGGGUAUCGAACAGGAUUAGAUACCCUUGUAGUC